This 1553-nucleotide long non-coding RNA is filed under the name Suricata suricatta (meerkat). Its description in RNAcentral is "lncRNA (ENSSSUG00005017492.1)". The record is from RNAcentral. Lineage: Eukaryota; Metazoa; Chordata; Mammalia; Carnivora; Herpestidae.
GAGCUCCUGACCGCUUACCUGCAAGCAGGUUAGUGAGCAGGUAGGAUGUGAAGAGCUAGGGUGGUUCCGGAGCGACAUAACGUUUCAGGGAAUAAGGAAAGCAAGACGGGGAGACUCCAGAACCCGGAAGACUGUCGGCACUGAAAUGUGGGUUCGAGCGGCAGUGCCCUGUGGGUCCGAACGCGGUGAGGUCUGAAAAGGAAUGUGUUUCCAGAGGGACCUCGUCGGUGUGGAACCAAGAGGAAGAAGAGUUAGCAAGAGUCUGGCACCCUCCUGGCACUGCCCAGACAGAGCAACGCUGGAUGUGUGGGGCAAGCAUUCCUGACACUCGAAGAUCUCCCUUAAGACUCUGUUUCUGUUCCUUGUAUACCCUCUUCACCAAGAACUUUCUGAUUAGCAAUCUAGCUUCCCGGGAACACUAACAGAGCAAGACGUGUCUGUCACAGGGACAUGAGCAUUCCAGUGACCCUUAACCAUAAACACGUGACCCAGCCUCAGGCUUCAGCCUCAGUCCUUGUGAGUCUGAGCUGUAAUCUCAGUCUUAUUAAAAUAUUUUUUAUGUUUUUAAUUUAUUCUUGAGAGACAGAGACAGUGCAAGCAGGGGAGGGGCAGAGAAAGAGGGAGACACAGAAUCAAAAGCAGGCUCCAGGGUUCGAGCCCUGUAUCAGCACAGAGCCUGAUACGGGGCUCGAACCCACAAACCGUGAGAUUAUGACUUGAGCCAAAGUUGGAUGCUUAACUGACUGAGCCCCCCAGGUGCCCCAUGUAAUCCUAGCCUAGCGUACUCUGACGAUAUAAAUGGAGAACCAGACCUCCCAAUAUGCUGGCCCGAGCCCCUGAGACCAGGCCAAAUGGCCAGUGGUUGUCCUCUGCUGUCACUGUCGUGGUUCUAUGGCAGUAAGUCGCACCAUCCUUGGUAAUCCAGUGGACACGCUUGCAGCAUUGUACAGCAGAAGGGAAUGUCUCUGCGAGCAAAGUAUUUGUGUUGCAUGCAGGCGCUCAAAAGCGAGUAUAGGAGGAUGAGGGAAUGAGGAAUAGAAGAGAGUUCGAGAACGGGCACGGGAGGCACAACAUGAGCGAUGCCCAUGUUGUCGCUUACUUAUCACAUGCAGUUUUCUUCAUAGCACAGACGGCACAGCUGUGAAGAGUUUCUCCUAGACAAUACUGUUCUCACUGCUCUUGUUGUACCAUAUUUCCUGGGAACGUUACACCCUCUUAUUAUUAUUAUGAGUGCCAAAGCGUGAAGGACAGUUGUACGAUAACAUUUUAACUCAAGUGACUUAACCUCUGAGGAACUGGGUCAGCCUCGAGGGCUGUGAGGGCAUGACAGCUUCGCUCGGUCACAGUCCCCUCCCUGGCUCCUGGCUGCUGUUUCCCACAUAUUUGAUUCUUGGUGGUAGUGGCUUUGGUCCAUGAAAAAGUUAACAAACCCUUCAGGACCGCAAAUCAGAAUAGUCUCCCCCACCUCAAGCCAGACUCAGGGAGCCUUUCCUCUCCUGAGGGUGCGCCCAGAACGGUCCAGCAUCCUCUCAGGCCAAGCAGAAUCUGGUCGG